AACGCUGGCGGCAUGCCUUACACAUGCAAGUCGAACGGCAGCACGGGUGCUUGCACCUGGUGGCGAGUGGCGAACGGGUGAGUAAUACAUCGGAACGUACCUUAUCGUGGGGGAUAACGCAGCGAAAGUUGCGCUAAUACCGCAUACGCCCUGAGGGGGAAAGCGGGGGACCGUAAGGCCUCGCGCGAUUAGAGCGGCCGAUGUCUGAUUAGCUUGUUGGUGAGGUAAAAGCUCACCAAGGCGAUGAUCAGUAGCUGGUCUGAGAGGACGAUCAGCCACACUGGGACUGAGACACGGCCCAGACUCCUACGGGAGGCAGCAGUGGGGAAUUUUGGACAAUGGGGGCAACCCUGAUCCAGCAAUGCCGCGUGAGUGAAGAAGGCCUUCGGGUUGUAAAGCUCUUUUGUCAGGGAAGAAACAGCAGCUCUAACACAGACUGCGAAUGACGGUACCUGAAGAAUAAGCACCGGCUAACUACGUGCCAGCAGCCGCGGUAAUACGUAGGGUGCGAGCGUUAAUCGGAAUUACUGGGCGUAAAGCGUGCGCAGGCGGUUAUACAAGACAGGCGUGAAAUCCCCGGGCUUAACCUGGGAAUGGCGUCUGUGACUGUAUAGCUAGAGUGUGUCAGAGGGGGGUGGAAUUCCACGUGUAGCAGUGAAAUGCGUAGAUAUGUGGAGGAACACCAAUGGCGAAGGCAGCCCC
This 702-nucleotide ribosomal RNA is filed under the name Pseudomonadota bacterium. RNAcentral describes it as "bacterial SSU rRNA". It matches the Rfam family "Bacterial small subunit ribosomal RNA", at positions 32 to 728 of the family's 1533-position model. The record is from RNAcentral. Lineage: Bacteria; Pseudomonadati; Pseudomonadota.